Molecule: long non-coding RNA, 1006 nt
Organism: Syngnathoides biaculeatus (alligator pipefish)
Lineage: Eukaryota; Metazoa; Chordata; Actinopteri; Syngnathiformes; Syngnathidae
Exons: 3
Source: RefSeq, a predicted model, not a curated record
UCCUAACGGCCUUCCGAGGGAAAAGUGUAACUCCAAUGUGACGAAACGAGUUUUUGACACCCCAGUUGAAAAGGCCUUUUUGAUCGACACGAGUUGCCGUACUUGUCCCUUUCACGAGCUCCGCCACGCAACUGCCGACCUGGAAACCAGGCAGCGCGCAUCAAGACUGAAUCUUGAAGUAACUUUGGAGGCGACGACGGCGUGAGACUUAUUUUCGCUUGCUCAAACGUGGUCCAUAAAAGGAAGGGUUCUGUCUUGAGCGCACAUGCUGCAGUCAGUGGGGUAAAAAAAGAAAGAAAGAAAGAAAGAAAGAAAGGAAAAAGACAGAGACAGAACUUUUUCUUCUCCCCCCGACAUCGGCGUAAAAUCCCACUCAGUGCUAAUCGUGUGCCGGCGUUGAGAGGCCGCAGCCGCUUAUCCUCACAAGAGUCGCAGGAGCGCUGGAGCCUAUCUCAGAUGUCAUCGGGCAGGAGGCGAGCAAACCGCAGUGGGGAUCGAACCCCGGCUCCUCGGAACUGUGAGGCCAACGCUCUUCCAGCUGACCCACAGUUGUCUGCGACCCAACGAGAGGCGGUGAAAUGCAUCGCAAAGACGAGUUCCAGUCCCCACGGCAACCGAAACGGCUUCUUCUACUGCGUAAACAUUCCACGGGGCGGCUCUUCGGAUUGAGCGCAACGGCCGCUCUCAAAGUGUGCAACGCGACCAAUCGCUGCGCUAAAUUUUCAAACCGUGCAAAACGUUACAGUGGCUUGAACGAUUUGAAACCCAGCGCAGAACAAUAAAAAUGGGACGCGAAUGAAGACGGCGUUUUCCGUCUCUCCCCCUCGACAUUAUUUGGGAUUCCUUUCCCGUCUCGUCUCGUCUGGCGUUUUGCCGUAAUUUGAGGGUUGUCUUUAAAGAGCAAGCGAACUUUAAAAGUGCCGCCAGCUUGUUUAUCGCUCGCGAGCGCCCAUCUGUCAUCUUACUAAUGACUGGGAGGGAUUGCAAUUAAAAAGAAAACACAAAA